This 58-nucleotide transfer RNA is filed under the name Vibrio cholerae. Its description in RNAcentral is "tRNA-Met". It matches the Rfam family "tRNA", at positions 8 to 62 of the family's 71-position model. From Rfam's summary of the family: Transfer RNA (tRNA) molecules are approximately 80 nucleotides in length. Their secondary structure includes four short double-helical elements and three loops (D, anti-codon, and T loops). Further hydrogen bonds mediate the characteristic L-shaped molecular structure. tRNAs have two regions of fundamental functional importance: the anti-codon, which is responsible for specific mRNA codon recognition, and the 3' end, to which the tRNAs corresponding amino acid is attached (by aminoacyl-tRNA synthetases). tRNAs cope with the degeneracy of the genetic code in two manners: having more than one tRNA (with a specific anti-codon) for a particular amino acid; and 'wobble' base-pairing, i.e. permitting non-standard base-pairing at the 3rd anti-codon position. The record is from RNAcentral. RNAcentral also lists the same sequence under 1 other name. Lineage: Bacteria; Pseudomonadati; Pseudomonadota; Gammaproteobacteria; Vibrionales; Vibrionaceae.
UGGAGCAGCUUGGUAGCUCGUCGGGCUCAUAACCCGAAGGUCGUCGGUUCAAAUCCGG